Molecule: long non-coding RNA, 364 nt
Organism: Lathyrus oleraceus (garden pea)
Lineage: Eukaryota; Viridiplantae; Streptophyta; Magnoliopsida; Fabales; Fabaceae
Exons: 3
Source: RefSeq, a predicted model, not a curated record
GAGUCCACUUGGAUAUCCCAAUUAGAAGAAAUAAAACUCGUAGAAAAUCAUUUCGCUCCCAAUCUCGCGUGCCCUAGUUCUCUUUCUUUCGCCGUGCCAUCUAUAGUCACUGCCAACAAUGUUUUUUCAUUCUUCUCAGCCGAUUUCCAUCUUUGUCCGGAGUCUAAACCGAAAGGGUCUCAUUGGGAGAAAAGGCUUCUAAUGAAUGAGAUUAUACCAUGGAUGGUACAAAGCCAAUUAUAGCAUGAAAGACCUUUUUGAUUGGGGGUUCUAACCAAGUGCAUGUGAAUUACUUUUAAUUUAAAAAGGAAUAAUGAAGAAAUGAUAUCGGAGGAAUGCAUCUAUAAGUAUAUGGGAAUAGGGA